This 499-nucleotide ribosomal RNA is filed under the name uncultured Sphingobacteriales bacterium. Its description in RNAcentral is "bacterial SSU rRNA". It matches the Rfam family "Bacterial small subunit ribosomal RNA", at positions 904 to 1382 of the family's 1533-position model. The record is from RNAcentral. Lineage: Bacteria; Pseudomonadati; Bacteroidota; Sphingobacteriia; Sphingobacteriales.
CGCUUGCCAGCCGCUCAGAACUUAAGGAAUUGACGGGGCCGCACAAGCGGAGGAGCAUGUGGUUUAAUUCGAUGAUACGCGAGGAACCUUACCUGGGCUCGAACGUAAGAUGACUGUAGGUGAAAGCUUACAUCUCUUCGGAGCAUUUUACGAGGUGCUGCAUGGUUGUCGUCAGCUCGUGCCGUGAGGUGUCGGGUUAAGUCCCAUAACGAGCGCAACCCCUACCUUUAGUUGCCAUCAGGUAAUGCUGGGGACUCUAAAGGAACUGCCUACGCAAGUAGUGAGGAAGGCGGGGAUGACGUCAAAUCAGCACGGCCCUUACGUCCAGGGCUACACACGUGCUACAAUGGCCGAUACAGAGGGCAGCUACCUGGUGACAGGAUGCAAAUCUCCAAAGUCGGUCUCAGUUCGGAUCGGAGUCUGCAACCCGACUCCGUGAAGUUGGAUUCGCUAGUAAUCGCGCAUCGGCCAUGGCGCGGUGAAUACGUUCCCGGGCCUU